CUUUAAGAGGUCAGGUGCUCUUGUUCAUUCAUAAAAUUAUCGUUCAUUCAUACAUUUAUCGUAAAAUCAAAAUCACUACACAGGUUAAUGCGUAGUGUCAAAUGAUUACCUGUAAUCUAAAAAUAGACAAACUUUGUUUGCGCAAAUAAUUUAGCGGAACGAAACCCUUGUUGAAAACAAAUAACAAUAAGUUCGUUUUCCUUUUCUGUCAAACUCCGUAAUAUUUAUCGAUCACCUUACUAAUGAAAUGGACCCGUCCAAACGUAGUAGAUGCCAAGUCGGUCCAGAUGAAGAGAUAUUUCAAUUUGGAAUUUUCUAGUUACAUAGAUUGAAAAAAAGUAUGUCUUUUUAAAUAUCAUAAUCAAAACUGGGAAUGCAUAACAAAUGUCAGAUGAAACCAUUAUCCUCGUCUUUUCAGUGAACAAGUCUACUACGUUUGUUGACACUCGACGGUCCACCGUGUUAGCAAUUUUAUUUCACAUGUUUUCGAAAUAUUGAAGAUUAUUUUUCGCAAUGUUUCCUGAAAAUUGAUAAAUGUCAAAGCAACGUAGAGCUGUUUGUUCUUGUUCGUAUAAUAAAAUUGAGAAUGGAUAUGGGGAAUGUGUCAAAGAGACAACAACCCGACCAUAGAAAAACAUACAACAGCAGAAAGUCACCAACAGGUCUUCAAUGCAGCGAAAAAUUCCCGCACCCGGAGGCGUCCUUCAACUGGCCCUAAACAAUACAUCAGUGAUAACGAUUUAAUGUCAUGUUUGUCUGUGAUAAUUCGAAUUAGCUCUCGCCGCGAUAACAAUCAAUCAAGGAAAUUAUUGCCCAGUUACAAACACUACCAGGGGAUAAUCCAUGAUGAUUUCUUUUUGAGUUAUAUGUUUCAGCACAUGUAUAUUUGACCCCAACUUUAGCCUGGUAAACGUGUUGUCUCCUUGUGAAAUAUAAAACAUAUUAAAAAUGACUUUCUGCUAAAGUCUUUUAUUUAUAUAAAGUUAAAACCUUCUUACUUCUAACUAGACAACACUCAUGUCAGGUUUAAUUAUUAUAUAUAUGUGGAUGAAAAAUAAAAGUCCCCAAACAUUAACAUGACAGCAAUUGCUUUUACAGCCUUUAAGGCUUUGAUUUA
Molecule: long non-coding RNA, 1117 nt
Filed under: Mytilus galloprovincialis (Mediterranean mussel)
Lineage: Eukaryota; Metazoa; Mollusca; Bivalvia; Mytilida; Mytilidae
Source: RNAcentral